RNAcentral lists this long non-coding RNA (293 nucleotides) under Panax ginseng (ginseng). RNAcentral describes it as "long non-coding RNA (PGIN_LNC015737)". Lineage: Eukaryota; Viridiplantae; Streptophyta; Magnoliopsida; Apiales; Araliaceae. The record is from RNAcentral.
UCCAAUUCAAAUCUUCCUUAAUAAACUCCAAAUCAAAUCUUCCUUAAUAAACUCAAAUUCAAAUUUGAAAUGAUUUUAAAACAUUCCAACAUACCAACGGAAGGAAAUCAAGAACAAAUGUUCAUGUAAUAACCAUAACCCAUGCAUAUUAAUUAUAAUAUUAUAAACCAUAAUCCAUGCAUAUUUAAUAAUAUAAUAACAAACCAUGAACCAUGCACACGUCUAAUAUAUUUAAAUUAGUCAUCAAUCAAAACAUCAUAGAAUCAAAAACUAACAGGUUAAAGGUGAAGAUG